Molecule: long non-coding RNA, 6527 nt
Organism: Sapajus apella (tufted capuchin)
Lineage: Eukaryota; Metazoa; Chordata; Mammalia; Primates; Cebidae
Exons: 2
Source: RefSeq, a predicted model, not a curated record
UGUGUGUGUGUGUGUGUGUAUAAAACUUUUGUGUUAUAUGCUCUUCAAAGGAAAGAAAGGAUGAUUACUUUUAAUGUUUGGUUAUUAGCAGUUUUACAAUAAUAGCAAUGUUGAAUCCAAACUUGCAAUUGAAGAAGAGUAGUUCUGAUUAACUCAGGACAAAAUAUUUAUUCGUUUAUCUCUAAACAAACAAACGAGCAAAAAAAUAAAUAGCUAACUGCCAGAUCUUAUGAUUUUAGUGUUCUUCAUGUGUAGGUGGCCUUAGGUGGCUUCUUAAUGAGAGAAUGUGAUGGAAAUUUUCUAUCUUUUAAGGUGGUUUUAUUUUUUUUCCAAAAGGGAAGAUAAUCCUAUCUCUUCUACAGAUGACUGCAUACUCUAUUGACUUCCUUUUCAAAUUGAGAAAUCUGCAUUUAUCUCUUAGCGUCUACACUUAGAUGCUUGAAGAAUCUAGCCCAACCAACAUACUAUAAGUGAACCCUUUCUUGAAUGAGCUGAUAGCCGUGAAUUUUGUGAGGAAUACACAUGCCAGAAUUAGGAAAGUGCAAAAUCCCCACCUCCCCACUAGGCUCUGUUCUCUGUACUGUUCCCUUUGUUUUUUCUGAGGACCUUGCAGUUUUGCAGAACAGCCUCCUUAUCUCUCUUUGCUUUUCUCCUUGGGACUUACCUUCCACAGACCUCUUCAGACAUUCUUACAGAAUUGAUCCCACAAGAUCUCUAUUUUCAAUUGGUUUUAUACCUUUCAAUUUUAUGGCCCAUCCAGAACAGCUCAGUUCACUUUCUGAAGAAGAAAUAAGAAAGUGUAAAAUGUUACCAAAUCUUCCCUCCUGUGUUUUCAAUAAACCACAUUUGCAGCUUCCUGUUUUAUACGCUUUUACAGAAAUUCUCUUUAAAAAUCAAAUAUAUGCUUAUCAUUAUUUUAAUAAAUCCUCUGCUGAGUAAAUGAAUUUAACAGAAUUGGGGGUAAAAGUUUGCAGUGAUUGGUGGAUGAUACUGCUAUUCAAUAAGGAGCGCUUAAAAAUAGAGCAAACACGUAAGACAUUUUUCCAGUUUUCAAUUUGUAAGAAAAUGAUUUCAUUAGAGGGGAAAAAAGAGAGAGAGAAAACUAUCAGUCACGAUGUGGGAGAAUGCAGGCUCCUGAUGAGACCAGCGAGAAGACAAACUAAGUGUAUGGAUGCAGAUUAGGCCUCAGAAGAUGAGGGUGUAAAAGGGAUUUAAUGGUAGGGUGGAUUAUAGAAAUCCAUGUAACAAUGUUAAAUAAUUAUAGUUCCAGCCGAGAUCAAAGCAGUGCUGAUUGAACGCCCUCAAGCUGUUAACAUGAAGUAUCUUGAAGGGGAAAAAAAACCUGCCUCAAAGAUUGGUCAGCCUGGGCAAACAAUGUCUGUGAUCUGUAGAAGUUCCAACUGUAUUGAAAGCACCAAUUCUGGGGAGGAAAAAUGGAGGAAGCAGCCUGUUAGGAAAUUUCUUCCUCUAGAGCUCUCGAUCUUAAAACAGACUUUUUAGCUAUUUGUAGUUUGUUUGAAAAUGCUAAAAAGAAAAGUCUACCCUUUCUUUUGGAGGGCAGAGAAAAAAAUAUUCACUCAACCUACAUCAUAGAUGUCGAUAGAAAAUUCUACAAUUGAUUUUUUUAAUUCUUGAUUUUGCCCUUUGAGGAAAAUUUUACUUUCACCAAGUGUACCAGAGUGAUAAUGACUGUAGGUAAGGAAAACUGGAAAAAAAAAUUUGUGGAAGAUACAUUUAUCCGCAGAAGGAGCAAAAAGUAUUUUGAAUAUAAAGAAAAAAUAAUGAGAAUACAUUUGUAAUACCUCUAAGACAUUAAAAAAUACAGAAUUAUAAAACAAUUGAAAUUAGUUCUAAAAUGAGACAGCCAUUUAAAUUAACCCCAAUCACAAGUGUGUUGGGCAAAUUGAAUAUAGAAGUAUAUUGAUGUCUAUGUCUGUAACUGUCUGUCUGUAUAUAUGAUAAAGUACAGAGAGCUGGUAAUUUUUAUAGUUUACACAUGCAUCUUUUAUUUAGUAUAAAAAUGAAAUUGUUUACUAUUUUAAAAUUACACUAAAAAUGCCAAGCCAACAAAUAUUAAAACUAGAUUUAUAGAAAUUAUACUUGUAGACUUUUUAUUAUCCAUUGAAAAUAUAGUUGAUAUAAAUAGUUGAGCUACAUAGUAACAUAAUGAUUUGAAUUCUAAAACUGAACGGCCAACUAUUUGCAAUGUUUUUAUAAUAUUCCAGGUACUGUGGCUGGAAUUUUACUUGGAGAGAAUUAAAGCUGAUAUUUGAGUAAGGUGCACGGCAUUUCCUGUACGGUGAUCGUUUUAAGAUUUAAGAUGUGUAGGAUCAGCUAGUCACCCCAUCUGAAUUUUAAAAACCUUUAUGUUAGGAGAUGAACUAUUGAUAUAAGUAUUCUAUAAGAAAUACACAUUUCUUAAGCAGUUGAUGAUAACUUGUUAAGGGAAAAUUUGGAUAGACAAAAUGUGAAUUUUUGUAUUAGAAUGAAUUGAAAGAAAUUUUUCUUGAUUCAAAUACAUUUGCCUAGUAACAUUAAAGUAAGAGCAUUUUAAAAGUGAAGACAUUCUGCUGUAUAUCUUUUUUCUGUUAUAGGAAAUAGCUGAUAUUAAAGACAAUACCUCAUUAAAUCUUGUGAUGAGUGGUUUAACUUCAUGGCUUUUCUUAGGCAAAGGUUUUAUUACAUUACAUUACAUUUUUAAUAUUUUAAUAUGAAUGCAUUUCCUUUGCCAAACUAAUUUUUAUUUUUAUAGGAGGAUGGAUGUGUUCGCUCUUUAACAUCUUUUCUCAUCCUUGGAAAACAUCAUUUUUUAUCUGUAAAAUAUUUUUAAAUCAUAUUUACAUGGUACCGGAAAAUGAUAUUAUAGGAUUAAAGUAUUUUAAUGCACGUGUUGAAUAUUUUUAAAACAGUUUAAGCUAACAAUUAAAACUUACUAUAAAUUAAUUUCAGUAAGCCACUAGGUAAUUAGUCAAUUUUAAAGUUUCUCACAUUUUUAAAUUUGGGAUGUUAGUGAUAUUCUAAAGUGAGUUAUAUAUUUAACAACUGAAUAAUUUGUUUAUUUUCACUUCUUUUUAUUGUUCCUUUUAAUUUAAAUGUUCACAAACUGUAUUUUUCAUUGUAAUUCUCAUAGGUCCUUCUACAACAGAGGUUUACACGAUACAGAAGGGGUUCAUUAACUGCCAAGUCACCUGUCCAGAAAUGUUAAUUUAAUUUGAAAGUUAAAUUGUUUUGUUUGUUUGUUUGUUUAAAGUAAUAUGAUUCUACCCCACGUAGCAGUACAUACUUGAGAGUAAAUGCCAGGUGAAAUGAUUUUCUAAAAUUGUCUUACUUUUUUUUUUUUUAAUUUGAGGAAGUUUUUUAUUCUAAGGAUACAGACAUCUUAUGACUAUUGAUGAGUUCAGUACCAUACAAAAAUUCUGAUAUUAUAAUAGGGUGGAAAAGCCUAAAAUUUUUAUUCUUAUAAAACUGGUUUCAAAUCCUCAUUCAGUGCUUGAUUACUUAUGAACUGAGUGACUAUGGACAUUUUGCCUCAUUGCCCAAAGUUUCAGUUUCAUCAUGGAAAUAAUGCUUACCUUCUGUAUCUCUUGUGAGCAUUAAACAAGGUCAAGUGAAAUAUCAUAUGUAUUUCUUCCCAGCCAGGCUGCAAGACUGGGUAGAUGGAGGACUCUCAUGAGAACUGCCCCUCACCUCUUACUAUUGAAGACAUAGGAUGGUGAAGUUUCUGUGAGAGCUCUGACCUUGAGCCCCACAAUUCUUAAGUAUAUUUAUUCCAAUACAACUUAUUUUUACUAAAGUGAAAUUUAGGAAGCUUGAAAUGAGAGUGACUUUGUCCAAGUACUUUUAUGUCUCAGAUCCUCAGUUUUCCCACAAGCAAAUGGGGAUGAUAAUAGCUACUGCGGUGCUUAAAGUGGAUCUUAAAUAAAAGGACCCACGAGAUACUUAUGCCCAGCCCAUAGAGGUGCUCAGUUAUUGCUUUUGUUAUCAUAGUCACAGACUACUGGAAAUAACUGGCUUUUUAGAAAUAUUAACCCUAGAAAGUUAGGAAAUCUUCACUGAAUUUCUUAUAUGAAACAGGAAUUCUGCUAGACCCUGAGAUACUGUGAUCAGUAGGACAGGUGUGAUCUCUGACCUCAGAAGGCCUGCACUUUACUAUGGAAUGCUGUUUAAAAUUCAGGUAGCUACCAUACCACCAUUAAAUAUAUCAAAGCAUUUUUAAACAGUGGUUAUUUCAAUGAAUAUAAAAGUAAUAGGCUAAGUCUUUGAAGAAAAUAAAAAGAGUGAUUAGAUACACACACAUGUAUAUACACAACAUAAUAAAAAUGAGUGUUCCUAUGCAUUAAAAUAUGCUACCCCUAGUCUCCAAGUCUCUUUGCCCUGGCCAUAAUUAAAAUCUGUAUGCAUAAAAAAGAGACAGUGAUUUGGGAUUCAUUGGAAGAGAAAGAAUGAUUUGGCAAAAACUGGUCACCUUCAAUUUCAAACUUUUCUCACUUUAUUACUGCUCUAAAAUGUUCUAAAGAAAACCCCUCAUUUUCUCAACACCAGUCUGUCUCCCCCAUCACUCAUGUCCCCUAUCUCAUUGUUCUUAGUUGGGCCCUCUUAUCACUCCUCCUAGCCCCCACUUUAUCGUCCUUGUUAAACAAACCAUCCUUACUUCCUUGGUGUCAGGCCUCCUAGAUAUACCAUUCUCUUUAGCAUUUAACCAAGUACAUUUUUCUCCAUUGUCGCUUGCUAAUCUUGUGUCUCCCUGAGGACUCUUCCCAGAGGCACUUGACACUGGCCUGCCAUUUUCUCUCUUUCCUCUUGGAGUUCCACCUUCUCUGCUGCCACAUUGCACUUGUGGCCAUUACCCUGUAACCUCAUGGCCUCUUCUGAUCAGGAAAUAAUGUCCUUCUUCAUAUGCAUCAACCGUCUUAUACAGCCACAUUUUAUCACUCAGAAUUGUUACAUACUUAGACAUUCCUUUCUCUGUGUAUAACUGGCUGUGUGUUUCCUUGCGACCUCAGUGAGGAAUCUACGCAGCUCCUGGAUUCAUUUUCAGUAUUACUCAGUCUCAGCUCCAUAACCUCCCAUUUCAAUAUUACUCUUGUUAGUACCUUCAGUGGCCUUGACCUCUGUGCAUCUGGCUUAUCAUUGCUUUACUGGGAGAUGGGGAGUAGAUAGUCUUUAUACCCUAUACCUAAAUCACCAGGAAAAAUAAUAGCUUAGAUGCAUUAGUGAGCAUUUAUUAUGUAUAUGAGGCACUGUGCCAGACACGAAGCAGCAUCUCAGACAAUCCCCUCAACACUCUAAGGCCCCAAAAAAAUCUUUUUGUUGGCAUUAUUGCAAAUUCAAGUACUACUAGGCAUUUUAUUGAUUGCCUGAUAACCUUGUAUAGAAAUCUCCACGAUAAUGGUUCUAAAACUCUCCAGUCUUUGAAUCAUUAAUCCUCUUUCCUCACUGCUUUAUUUUCAACUACUUUUUUGAAUAUGGAGCAGUUAUUUUUUAUGUGAGAGAUUUUUUCCUGAAGACCUUUCUAAAUUCAAAUUCUCACUUGUCCCAUAGGGGGAAAAGUGGUGGGGCAGCCCAGAGAGCUCUUUAGAGCACACAGAUCUGGAAACAUUGUAGCUUAGAGGUUUUGAAACCACUUUGAUCAUGGAGCCAUGUCACCAGAAUUUUUUCCUAUUAUCCUUGCCCACUUAUAUAAUAAAUUUUUCCAACUUCAAGGUGAAUCUGCUUUAAUGUUGCUUUUAAUUUUCUCAGUAUGAUCUCCAAUACUUCAGAGUGUUCACUCUUAAAUUAAUUGCUGCUUGUGAUUAAAAGAAGAUGGCUUCACUCUUAUGUGAGGAUUUCCUGUAAUGAUCUCUUCUGUUUUACAUCUCUUUACUCUCUCUUAUUUUUCCCCUUUCUAUCUCUCAAUCUCCUGCUCCUUUUUAUGAUUGCAACUCCCAUCUUUCUUUUUUCUUCAGUUUCUACCUAGCCAGUUUCUUGUCUACUUGCUCAUCAUUGCCCUCCAGGUGGCAUAUUCAUUCAUGCAUGCAUUCAAACAAUGUUUCUUGAGCACUGACUGUGUGGAGGGCCAGACUGACUGGCCUCAAAUACUGGUUUCAUCACAUUCUAGCUCUGAGACUGAGCAAAUCCUUCAAUCUUUAUGUGCCUCAGUUUCCUUAUCAGUAAAACAAGAAUAAUAGUAAUUGUAUCAGUGAUAAAUGCUAACGUGUGUUGUGAACUUACCAUAUUCCAGUAGGUUUUAAACAUUUUAUGUGUGUUAACUCAUUUAGUCUCAUAGAACACUAUGAUGGGAUUCUGUUAUUAAGCCCAUGUUUUGUGCAUGAAUUAUAUAUUUUCAUAAUUUGCUCAAAAAUCACAAAGCCGCAUAGCUCAUCAGAGGGUUGAAUGAACUCAUUCAUAUAAAGGGCAUAACAAAGUGCCUGGCACAGAAUAAAUGCUCAAAAACAUUUAUCUAAUGUAAUUAUUAUUGUCUUUAUAAAUAUUCCCGAUUUACUACCCAGUAAGUACUUAAAAUAUUAGCUGUUGUUAAUGAUAAUGAC